This 194-nucleotide ribosomal RNA is filed under the name uncultured bacterium. Its description in RNAcentral is "partial 16S ribosomal RNA". It matches the Rfam family "Bacterial small subunit ribosomal RNA", at positions 338 to 524 of the family's 1533-position model. The record is from RNAcentral.
UUUACGGGAGGCAGCAGUGGGGAAUAUUGGACAAUGGGCGAAAGCCUGAUCCAGCCAUGCCGCGUGUGUGAAGAAGGUCUUCGGAUUGUAAAGCACUUUAAGUUGGGAGGAAGGGCAGUUACCUAAUACGUGAUUGUUUUGACGUUACCGACAGAAUAAGCACCGGCUAACUCUGUGCCAGCAGCCGCGGUAAU